AUUGAACGCUGGCGGCAUGCUUUACACAUGCAAGUCGAACGGUAACAGGUUAAGCUGACGAGUGGCGAACGGGUGAGUAAUGCAUCGGAACGUGCCCGAUCGUGGGGGAUAACGCAGCGAAAGCUGCGCUAAUACCGCAUACGAUCUGAGGAUGAAAGCGGGGGAUCGCAAGACCUCGCGCGAUUGGAGCGGCCGAUGGCAGAUUAGGUAGUUGGUGGGGUAAAGGCUCACCAAGCCGACGAUCUGUAGCUGGUCUGAGAGGACGACCAGCCACACUGGGACUGAGACACGGCCCAGACUCCUACGGGAGGCAGCAGUGGGGAAUCUUGCGCAAUGCGCGAAAGCGUGACGCAGCAACGCCGCGUGGGGGAAGAAGGCCUUCGGGUUGUAAACCCCUUUCAGGAGGGACGAAGGCACGGCGGUGAACAGCCGUCCGUGCUGACGGUACCUCCAGAAGAAGCACCGGCUAACUACGUGCCAGCCGCCGCGGUAA
Molecule: ribosomal RNA, 493 nt
Filed under: uncultured bacterium
Lineage: Bacteria
Description: partial 16S ribosomal RNA
Rfam family: Bacterial small subunit ribosomal RNA
Source: RNAcentral